CCAGGAAUUAUAUGAACUAGUAAUUAGGGAUAAGCUUAUUCACCGAGGGAUCAGGUUUAGGUAAUUUAGUGAGAGACGUUGGCAUUAAUGCAUAAAGAAAAAUUCUUAUAUACAUGAGAGGGAACUUGGUGAAAUCUAACCCCAAGAACGUAUCCAUCUCAUAUAAAUCAACCUCCGUUCAUCUAUGUGCUCCUUUGCCACUGAUCAAUUGCAUUUUUAUUCUAUCUAUUAUUUUUGCACCCAAACCCAAUGAUCUCUUUUAUUUUAAGUCUUAAUUAAUCUUGUUAUCACACAACUGUUCAGUGCCGAGAGUCCUCUGGGAUACGAUACUUGGUCUUACCAUUUUAUAUUACUUGUGCGAUUCGGUACACUUGCUGAUUUGUCCCAAGAAGUUUUUGGCACCGUUCUCGGGGACUCACGGUUUAAGCUAUUCUAUUUGUGUGAUUCUUGAUCAACUUUGACUUUAUUUUAUUUUAUUUUUCCAUAUUUUAUUUUUAUUUUUCUUUUUC
RNAcentral lists this long non-coding RNA (509 nucleotides) under Vigna radiata. RNAcentral's name for it is "long non-coding RNA (VRAD_LNC005370)". Lineage: Eukaryota; Viridiplantae; Streptophyta; Magnoliopsida; Fabales; Fabaceae. The record is from RNAcentral.